This 13393-nucleotide long non-coding RNA is filed under the name Ananas comosus (pineapple). RNAcentral describes it as "long non-coding RNA (ACOM_LNC024099)". The record is from RNAcentral. Lineage: Eukaryota; Viridiplantae; Streptophyta; Magnoliopsida; Poales; Bromeliaceae.
AUGACGGAUAUUUUAAUGAGUAGUGGCUCUUCAGCUACCGUUUGGUUCGGGGUUAAGGAAAAACUAGUUAUUUCAGGGAUAGGGUUAAGUUCAGGGUUAAGAUGGGGUUAGAGUAUUUUUGUGUUUGGUUAGGGAUUGGAGUUAGUCCAGGAUAGUAAAAAAUAGUGUUUGGUUGGAGUAGGUGGGAUAAGAAGGAUAGUGGGUUAUUAUGAAUAGAAAAUAGUGUUUGGUUGGGGUUUGGUGGGGUUAGGUGGGGUUAGCUAACCCGGGAUAGCCCAUUUGAGGUGGGGUUAGCUAACCCCACCCAUUUUUUGGGGUGUUUGGGGAUAAUAUGAGGGUCAAGGGGUUAUUCCACCCCUUAACCCCCAACCAAACAAAGGCUCAAGGUUCUGUUGAAGUCUAUUCUAAUAAGCACAUUGUCGAAAGAAAAAUAUUUUUGAGAACCAGCAAUAAUGCACGCAAAUAGGAUAACAGCCUCGGCAGUUCUUACUUUUUAGUGGCUUUACUUGAUUUACCCUUAUUUUUUUGUUGUGUUUUCAUCCCAUCAUAAUUACAUUACUGAUUUACUUUGUUACAUGUGGUAGGAAUUGCACAGAAAACGGUUACAGAUAAAAGAAAAAGGCAAGAGAAAAGAAAAACCUAAGGAUAAAGGAAAACCUAAUGGUACCUCCUUUACUAUUUUCUUCUUUUGCUCCCUUUGCAACCAUAAGCUGUUCAAUCAUGUAAUUUCUCUCUUUAGGGACUGCAAAAACGAGUAUGAGAGUAAGAAAUAAUCUUGACAUUAAAGAUACAGCAGAUGUUUCUACAGCCAGUGCUAUGAAAGAUUCCGAGUACUCCAACUCGAAGGAAGAGGCUGGUUCGGUAAGAGUCAUUAUGUGUUUCUUUCUCUUUUCAGAUGGUCUCGCAUCUUAAAGUACUUCGUUCAUAAUCAUUUUUAUCAAAGUUUCUGUAAAACGAAACAUUCCAUGUUUAUACUUCUAGUGUAGAUGAUCUCAAAUUAUUUUGAUUCCUCAACGAAAUCCGUUUCUAAACAUACUAAUGGUUUUUCCUCAUGACAUCAGGACGAAGCAACACUUACGCCAUCAAAGAGGAAAAGGAAAUUACAUUGGGGGUAUUAUUUCUUUGUUGUGUGCCCUUUAUGCUUUUUGCAAUGGCAAUAUCUGUAGUAGAAUAUGUAGGUUGAUGAAAAUCAAUCACCUUUGCAAGUUUUCUUUUUAUAUAUAACACAAUGGCCGGUUUGGAUGUUUGAACAAUCUAUAGGGGGCUAAUUAAUUUUGUCUAGGAGUUUCCUUUGGUAAUUAUAUCAUUAAAACUUGAGUACUGUCCGUUGUAAGGCCCUAAUAAUCAGUUUUGAGGAUACAUAUACCGCCUAUGCGGUGAUUUAUCAUAUUCUUAAAAUUUGGGAUCAUAUUUUCCCACUUAACGCACUUUUAGAUGUCUUUCUAUCAGUUCUCAAAAAAAUAAAUAAGAGUAAAUUGAUCCUUGAGUAAGCAAUUGGUAAUGUGCUUGAUUAAGUUAUUCUGUCAUCUAGAUGGAUGCAUGAAUAAUACCAUUCAUGAUCUUUGCUGCUGGUUGACUGUACGGAGUUUGAAGUACCACUGGUUUCCAGCAUAGAUUAGGAUUUUGCUGUCGGCUCCACCGAGCGGCAAGCGAGAAUGGACGCAGCAGUCAGUUGUUUAUGAGAGUGUUCAAUAGACCUAUUGUCCAGACAUUUGAGCCACUGUCCGAUGUCUUGUGUUUAUGGAGCAGGGAUUACGACGGAAAUCUAAAGCCAAAAAGAAAUUUUGGCAACAAAAGUAGCGUAGAAAGUUACAACACCCCUAAAGUCUAGGGUUGUAAAGCAUAAAUACGCCAAAAAGACUAAACUACCAGAUUCAAACAUAUUUGGAUGGACUUUGUGAGAUAAAUUUUUUGCUUAUACGAAUCCCAUACUUGUAGGUAUUUAAUAUUUUUGACAUAUACGAAGGAGGCCAAAGAAGAAACUACCAGCUCAGUAUAGUGAAGUAUAAUUGUGCUGAAGAAGUAACUACCAGAUUCAAACAUAGUUAGAUGGACUCAGCAAAAUGAAUUAUUUUCUUAUGCGAAAUGCAUUUUGCGAAGUAUUUAAUGUAAUUGACGUAUGGGAAGGAGGCUGAAUCUGUCUGCGGACGGGGUUUGUCAUCUUCGACUGUUUUACUAAGAACAUCAACUGCCGGAAUGCUUAUUAUUCGGUGUUGUUUUUCUCUAAUUAUUUGAAUACUUUUUUUUUUUUUUAAUUGGUGAAUACCACGUGCGCACAUUCUUUUAGUCCUUGGGAGAUUUAGACUCUCCCCUACUUUUGUUCAUUAGAAAAUAAUCUUUUUCUUCAUGCUAUUUGUACCAGAAUAUCGUAUCCUGUCUCCUGAUUGUUUGUAAAUUUUUUUUAAUUGGUGAAUACUUAGAUACCUUUUUCCUUUUAUUUCCAGGCUUGAUGCGAAGGAAAGAUGGGAAAGGAAAUCAAACAUGUAGAUUGCGAACGACAAACUUGGAGCCGUCCAGUUGUCGGUUUGCUUCAAACUAUCAGAGCUGUUUCACAAUGAGAAGAGAUCUUUCGAGGUCUAUCGUUUCGAUAUCUGCGAUCAGGCGUCGCCUUAUUCAGAAGGUAUUUAUCACUUGUUAGGAUUGUGAAGCGUAAUGAAAAAGAGCGGCGCCAUUUGUACAUCCUGGAGAGAAAAAUGAACUGCCAAAAUUGAUGUAUGACAAAUUAAAAGAAGAUGUCUGUUUUUUUUUUUUUUUUUUUUUUUUUUUUUUUUUUUUUUUUAUAAAAGAAUUUAUUUUUUGGUUCCCUCAUCUUCUCCAUUUUGUUUGGGUGGGGGUGUACAUCGCUCUAGGGCUUGCCUUUGAUUAGUUUUUUAUAUGACACCAUCCAUUUCAUAUUUUUUCAAUUCAAUGGUUCAAUUUUUUUUCUCAAAAAAUAGACUCGAGAUCUAGGCUGAAAUGCCGAUCUCUCAUGUUAUAGAAUCCUUUUUUUAUAUUUGGACCUCAGUUUACUCGAGGGGUCUUAAAAGUGACAAUUUUAAUAGUCUAUAAUCUAUAUAGGAUGUUUUUUCAUUCAAUAGUAUAGAAGUUUUCAAAUCAAAUUGAAUAUUUGGUACAUAAUUUUUUUUUAACUAAUACGGAAUGGAAUCUAUAACUCCAAUCUUAGAUUUUUUUAUUCUAUUUUUAGAAGGUUGUUCAAUUUCGUUCCUUCUUUUUUGACGAGUUGAUGAUCUAGAAAGUAAUUUUUGAAAAUUAUAAAAUUUGAUUUUCAAAAAUAUUAAAACACACUAGGUUAUGUUAAAUUGUGUAGAUCGUCGAAUCAGAUGCUCCGUUGUUAAAAAUGAGUCUAUAGUAAGCAGGCAUGGUGCUAUUAAUAGCAGCAACGUAGUUCAACUCUUAUUAGACUUGGUGGGAUUGGGGGUCAAAGGCUGAGGGUUGAUGAAUACCUUGUUGUACAUGAUUUGUGCGUGCAUACAAUGUGUCCAAUAAUUUUAGGAAAAUACUACACAUACGUCUAUAUAUAGGUGUAAAUCUUACGCUUUCUGAAUUCUAGAUUCACAUAAAUCUAAAUCAUUCUCAGUAGAAAAAAAAAAAAAAUUUAAAACCGAAAAAAUUGAUAAGACAAGAGGGAGAAUAUAUUUAUAGCAUGUUUGGUUCGCCACUUUUUCAUCCUGAAAUCGAAAUCGGAACGGACGAAUCCAUUUGUCCAUAUUUAGUACGCGGGAUUUCCAUUCCUAUUCGGAUUUUCGGGUGAAUAGGAAUCCUCCCAAUUAUUCUUUUUUCCAAUCGGGUCUAGGACGCUGGAUUGAAAAUUGAAUCUGAACGGAAUGGAUUUGUUCGGAUUAAAUUUAACUUUUUUAAGCUCAUUUUUUAAUUAAAACAUAAGUUUAAGUUUAAAAAUAUUUAUAAAUUUUAAAAUUUUAAUUUGGACUUGAAUUAAAAAUUAAAAUUCAAUCAAGCAUUUCAAAUUUAAUUUAUAAAUUUGAAUUUAAUUUAAAUUUAAUUUAAAAUCUAAAGUUUUAUUCAAAUUUUAUUUAAAUUUAAAUUAAAUUUAUGGAUUCAAAUUGAAAUUUAAAUUAAAAUUUUAAGUUUGAAUUUAAAUAAACUGAAAUUUAGUUUUAUAUUUUGAAUUAUUCGUUGAAUUUCAAAUUUAAUUUUUUAAAAAAAUAUAUUUAAAAUUUUGAUAUCAUUUUAAAAUUUUGACCUAAAUUUUUAAUAUUUAAUUUUCAGUUUGAAUCUAAACUAAUAUAUUAUAAUAAUAAAAUUGGUAUAUUAAUUUGAUUACCUUUCUUAUAUCUAUUUGGAUCAAACACUAAUAAUGGAAUGAUCCAUUCUGAUUUCGAUUCAGGUGGUGUAUCAAACAAAACGAGGUAAUGAAUCAUUCCGCUUAAUAAUUGCAAUUGUUUAAAUGUAUAAAGCCCAAUUUGAUAGUUCGGUACCAAAACUAAACUUGGUUAAGGGCUAUUUGGUUUCUCAGAAAAGUAUAAAUAGAAAAUUACGAAAAUUUUUUUAUGUAAAAUUCCUUUUCAGGUUUCCUUCCGUUUUAAGGAAAGGUACUUUUCAUAGAUGAAUUUUUUUUUUGUAAAAUAAUAAUUUUUUUUGAACCAAACAAAUGAAAAAACUAGAAAAGAAAAUUAUAAAAUUUUUUUUCUCGAAAAUCUCGUAAGUUUCCGAGCAACCUAACCACCCAAAAAGUUUGGGGUUGAGAGAUGCGGCAGGCACAAGAGCCAUCAUGCUAAGUGCCCCAUAUUUCGUCGGGUGCAAAAUUUUCUUUCGAAUUUGGGAUAUUGGGUACCAAUCACUAAGUGCUUUGCCACUUGCGGUAGAGAUGGUCGGUGGGAGCAAAUUUUUCAUCUUCAUUUCAUUUACAAAUUUCUCCGCCCGCACUCUCGUUAACUCAAUUAUAUAGCGAUGGAACUGGACUUGUGCCUAAACAAGGCCCGACCAGAUGAGCCAUGUAUGGGCUAGGUUUGAGCUCAGAAUUAUAACUUUGGAUCUGGUCUGGUCUCAGAAUUAUAACUUUGGAUCUGGUCCAGUCUUAAAAAGUUAGGCUAAAAAAUGUUUUGGGCCUAUUUGGGCAUGUCCAAGUCCGGCCAAGAUCCAACCUAACAGCUCGAUACAUUAGUUAUCAAAAUAAGAUAUUUAGUUAUAUAUAUAAAAUAUAUUUAUCCAUAUAAGAAUAAACGUUAUAAUAAUAUAUCUAGUAUAUAGCAUUAUUAAGGUUAUAUAUUAAUAUACAUGAGAAUGUGUUAUAAAGAACUAGGCUAGAAUACUAUUAAUAGCACCAAGUUAUUGGUACUAUUAGUUUUCAAGCCCUUAAAUUGAGAAAUAUACGGUUAGGAUAAUGUGGGCCUCCUAGGGUUGAGUGAGUAGUUAGUUGAAUAGUAUAAUCUAACGGAUAAAAAUAAUUAAAAGGUUAAAUCUAACGGUGGAAAACUCGAUAGCACCAAAUCCUUGGUGCUAUCAAUAGUAUCCAGCCGGACUCAUGUUAUAUAUAUAUAUAUAUAUAUAUAUAUAUAUAUAUAUAUAUAUAUAUAUAUAUAUAUAUAGAGUUGAGCUAGAAUACUCUCGAUAGUAAACGGGGCGUUUUACUAUCGAGUUGUUUUCGAUGAUAGAGCUUCCAAAUUGACGUAAUCGCUCGUUAAAUAUGAUCUAACUAUUUAAACUACCUAGAAAUCAAAUUUCACGCACUUUCGAUAUUGUUCUUUUACUCAUAUAGUGAAAAAAAUGAAGGCUGAAAAUGAAUAUUCUUUUAAAAAUGAUGAUAGGAGUCUUGUAAUCAAGAUCAAGAGUAUAGAUUUUGUUUUAAAUAGUUUAAAGAAUUUCUAACAAAAAUUCAAUUGAUUUGGAUAUUUUUACACCGUUAAACAGGAAAACGUCUCUUAUCCACCAUUAAAUUACAAAUUUUGAAACCUUUGAUCAUUAGGCAAAUGAUGUCGAAAAGAUUUGAAAUUAAUUUCUAAAUACAUUCAAGUGGUAUAGAUCAUGUUCAACGGAGCCGAUGUCAAUUUGGAAGCUCUAUCAUCGAAAACAACUCGAUAGUAAAACGCCCGUUUACUAUCGAGAGUAUUCUAGCCACUCUAUUAUAUAUAUAUAUAUAUAUAUAUAUAUAUAUAUAUAUAUAUAUAUAUAUAUAUAUAUCUAUAUAUAUAUAAAAGCACGUAUAUUCAAAUUUGGUAUGUCGACAGACCCAUUUUUCGGCGGAGAAAAUUAGGCCCUUUUUUCUCUUCCCGUACGAAAAUUUUAAUAUAAGAAUAAAAAUAGAAACAGCAAUGAAUAUUAGUUCUCUAUAACAGAUUACUGAUGUAAAAAUCUAAAAUAUAAAUUUUUCUAUUUAAUUUCAAAAGUAAGUUUUCUAUAACAGAUUAUUAUAGAUAUUUUCCUAUAUUUUAUUUUAAAAUAUCUUUUUUUAGAUGUAUCUAUUUAAUAUCAAAAUAUAUUUCUUUUUAGAGUAACGGAUUAUUUUUUUUAUUUAAUUUCAAAAUUUAUUUCCUAACAGAUUUAUUUUUCUAUUUAAUUUCAAAAGUAAUUUUUGCAUUAAAGAUUAUUGUUAAUUAUUUAUCAUUUAAAGCAUAUCUUUUCUUAAUAGGGUGAUUUAUUAUUUUAAAUUUUUAGAUACAUAUUUGGCAAUCAUAUAAAAUAUGGCCUAAAAUUAAAAAUAAUUAAAAAAUUUAUAAUUUUUCUAAUAAUUAUUACGUGUAUUUGCACGUACAUUUUACUAGUCUAUAAUAUAUAUAAAAGCACGUAUAUUCAAAUUUGGUCUGUCAACAGACCCAUUUUUCGGCUAAAAAUUAGCGCCCAUUUUUCUCUUUCCGUACGAAAUUUUAAAUAUAAGAAUAAAAUAGAAAUAGCAAUGAUAACGUAAGUUCUCAUUAACAGAUUACUGAUGUGAAAAUCCUAAAAUAUAAUUUUUUCUAUUUAAUUUCAAAAGUAAGUUCUCUUAACAGAUUACAGGUGUGAAAAUCAUAUAAAGAUAUUUUUCUAUUUUAUUUUAAAAUAUCUUUUUUAGAUAUUAUCUAUUUAAUUUCAAAAUAUAUUUUCUUUUUAAGAUAACGGAUUUUAUUUUUCUAUUUAAUUUCAAAAAUUUAUUUCCUAACAGAUUUUAUUUUUCUAUUUAAUUUCAAAAGUAAUUUUUGCAUUAAAGAUUAUUGUUAAUUAUUUAUCAUUUAAAGCAUAUCUUUCUUAAUAGCGUGAUUUAUUAUUUUAAAUUUUUUAGAUACAUAUUUGGCAAUCAUAUAAAAUAUGGCCUAAAAUUAAAAAAUAAUUUUAAAAAAUUAUAACUUUUUCUAAUAAUUAUUACGUGUAUUUGCACGUACAUUUUACUAGUAUAUAUAUAUAUAUAUAAAACUAAAUAUUUAGUUCUAGAAUAUAUUAUAAAUAGUAUUAUUAUAUACAAUUUUACAUAUAAAUAAAUAUAUAUAGUGUAAAAAUAUAUAUAUGUACUAUAUGACAAAUGCAUAAAGCGGGCCUCUACAAAUCCUGAUGGGCAUUGGGCAUCGGGCUUGGGGCCCAACCCAAGCCCGACCUAGUUCCACAAUUUAAAUAACUAUUAUUAGUCUAAAUUACAGAAAAAUUCCUAUCAAAAUCUGAUUUUUUACUUUUCCUUUUUGUCAUUUAAAAAUCUACACUUUGCCUUCCUAAAGAAUAAAAAAUAUUGAUCUCCGCCUCCAAAGCUCCAUUUUUUCUCUUGUGAAGUUAAUGAAACAUAGAUCCAUAUCCUCAAUGUUCGUCACCACGCACCUACCUCCACCGAGCUCUCCUGCGUUUCACACUUCGGAGUCUGGGUGACGUCCAGAGGUAGCGUGACAGGAUCCGGUGUUAUCAUGUGGUGAAAAUUGGUCGGGUCGUAAGUCAAGGUCCAAAGAAUGGGAUGCACGUGAUCUAAAUCGCUUGGACGGUGAACUUUGUGUUCGAAAAAAAUGCGUUUGGUUCGGGCUUUCCUAGUACUUCCAUAGGAGAUGUAUACAACACGCCCGAAGAUUAGAGUACCACUCGUCCACUAAGAAAAGAGAGAUCCAAUCAGUAAAAUGUACGUGCAUAUUACUUGAUAGAAUUUUCAAAGGUGAUGCAAAUCACACACGUGUUAGUUUUCCCAACCUGAGCCAUAUCAGGCAAAAAUAUAGGUGUCUGUGAAUUAGGUCGCAUUUGAAUAGUUAAUAUACUAUACUCGUACUCUAAAAAAAAAAGGAUAGAAUAUAUAUAUAUAGAGUUGGACUGGGCUACUAUUAGUAGCAAAAUUCCAUUGUUGCUACCAGUUUUUUAGCCUUUGGAUAAACUCUUUUCAUCAUUUCUAAUCAUUGGAUUAAAUACUAUAACCCAGUGGGGACCACUCAACCCUAGGGGGACCACUUAACUCUAACGGGCUAAUAUCAUCCUAACCAUAUAUAUAUAUAUAUAUAUAUAUAUAUAUAUAUAUACAUAUAUAUAUAUAUAUAUAUAUAUAUAUAUAUAUAUAUAUAUAGUCCGUCUCCGGUACUUUCGAAAGUACGGAGACCUCCGUGCUUAUAAGUUGUUUUCGAUGAUAGGAAGUCCGAUUCGACGAUCAGCUCCGUUAAGUAUAAUUUACCCUAUUGGGACUAUCUAGAAACCAAAUUUUAUAAUUUUUUGACAUCAUUUACUAAGCGAUCAAAAGGUCUAAAAAAUGAUUAUUUUAACGGCCGAUGUGGCACAUUUUUAAGUUCAACGGUGUAGAAGUAUCCAAAUUACAUGAAAGUUUAAUAGAAAAUUCUACUUAACAUUAGUAGCAAGAUCAAUACUUCCGAUUUAAAAUUUGAAUCCUUUAUCACUAUUUUUUUUGAGAUUUUCAUUUCAGCCAUUCAUUUUGAGGCUACUCGUUCACUAGACAAACGAAAUCAAAAAAUUAUGAAAUUUGGUUUCUAGAUAGUUCCAAUAGCGUAGAUCAAGUUUAACGGAACCGAUCGCCGAAUCGGAUGUCCCAUCAUCGAAAACAACUUACAAGCACGGAGUCCUCCGUACUUUCGAAAGCAUAGGAGCCUAGCUCUCUCUCUCUCUAUCUCUCUCUCUCUCUCUCUCUCUCUCUCUCUCUAUAUAUAUAUAUAUAUAUAUAUAUAUAGGAGCGAGACUACUGUGUUAUUAGGAGCACAGUAACCCUUGUACUCCUAACUUUUUAACCAUCCAUUAAUUUUGAUGGGUCGUUAGGAUGAGAGAGAGAAGAUAAAUUGGAAAGAAAUCGGAUGAUUAGAAAGUUAGGAGCACAAAGGUUGCUGUGCUUCUAAUAACAAAGUAGUCCUGCUCCUAUAUAUUAGAAGCACAACAGCCCUGCUUUUAUAUAAAAAUAUAUAUAUAGAGUUGAGUUAUAAUACUACCAGUAGCAAACGGACUCCGUUGCCACCCAUUUGUUUUCGAUGAUGGAGCCUCCAAAUCGACGAUCGGCACCAUUGAACAUGGUCUAUAUCACUUGAAGUAUUUAGAAACCAAAUUUCAAAUCUUUUCGACAUUAUUAACCUAAUGAUUAAAGGGUUUUAAAAUUUAUAAUUUUAAUGGUUGAUAUGAGGCAUUUUCUUGUUUAACGGUGUAAAGAUAUCCAAAUCAUUUGAAUUUUGGUUAGAAAAUUCUUUAAACUAUUUAGAACAAGAUCUAUACUCUCAAUCUUGAUUAUAAGAUUCCUAUCAUUAUUUUUUAAAGAAUAUUCAUUUUCAGCUGUUCAUUUUGUGUCCAUUUGAUGGACAAGAGAACAAUAUCGGAAAAGUAUGAAAUUUGAUUUCUAGAUGCUUCAAGUGGUAUAGAUCAUGUUCAACAGUGCCGAUCGUCGAUUCGAAGGCUCCAUCAUUGAAAACAAAUUGGUGGCAGCGGAGCCCGUGCCAAUCGUCGAUUCGAAGGCUCCAUCAUCGAAAACAAAUUGGUGGCAACGGAGCCCGUUUGCUACUGAUAGCAUUCCAGCUCAACUCUAUAUAUAUAUAUAGAGUUGAGCUGGAAUGCUAUCAGUAGCAAACGGGCUCCGUUGCCACCAAUUUGUUUUCGANUAUAUAUAUAUAUAUAUAUAAUUGAGUUAGAAUGCUAUCGAUAGCAAACGGACUCCAUUGCCACCUAUUUUGUUUUCGAUGAUGGAGCCUCCAAAUCGACGAUUGGCGCCGUUGAACAUGAUCUAUACCAUUUGAAGCAUUUAGAAAUCAAAUUUCAAAUCUUUUCGAUAUCAUUGACCUAAUAAUCAAAGGAUUUCAAAAUUUAUAAUUUUAAUGGUAGAUAUGAGGUGUUUUCACGUUUAACAGUGUAAAGCUAUCCAGCUCAAUUGAAUUUUGGUUAGAAAAUUCUUUAAACUAUUUAGAACAAGAUCUAUACUCUUGAUCAUGAUUAUAAAUUUCCUAUCAUUAUUUUUUAGAGGAUAUUCAUUUUUAGCCGUUCAUUUUUACACCUACUUGAUGGACAAGAGAACAAUAUCGAAAAAGCAUGAAAUUUGAUUUCUAGAUACUUCAAGUGGUAUAGAUUAUGUUCAACAGUGUCAAUCAUCGAUUUGGAGGCUCCAUCAUCGAAAACAAAUGAGUGGCAACGGAGCCUGUUUGCUACCGAUAGUAUUCCAGCUCAACUCUCUCUCUCUCUCUCUCUCUCUCAUAUAUAUAUAUAGAGUGCGACUACUAUACUAUCGGAAGCACGAAGCCUUCUGUGCUUCCAGCUCGUUUUCGAUGUUGCGACUUUCGAAUCGUCGAUCGCCUCUGUUAAACUUGAUCUAGAGUAUUUGAAACUUCUAGAAAAUAAAUUUCAUAAAUUUUCGAAAUCAUAAUAAAGUCCAUCAAGUGGGCAUAAAAUGAACGGUCAAAAUCGAAGGACGUCCUAAAAAAAGAUGAUCGGAUCCUUCAAUUCAAGAUUGGAGUUAUUGAUCUUUAUCUAUGUAACUUCUAGAAAAUAAAUUUCGUAAAUUUUCGAAAUCAUAAUAAAGUCCAUCAAGUGGGCAUAAAAUGAACGGUCAAAAUUGAAUGACGUCCUAAAAAAAGAUGAUCGGAUCCUUCAAUUCAAGAUCGGAGUUAUUGAUCUUUAUCUAUGUAGUGAAUAGAAUUUUCUAUCAAAAAUUCAACAAAUUCCGAUUCUUUUAUACUGUAAUAUACUGAAAUUUUCGGGUUAUAAUACUAACUUUGAUUUGGGUGAUCAAAGAGAAGUUUGAGUUGGAUGUGCAUUAUUCCCGAAUAAUUUUGGAUGCGUAGGAAUGACUUAUGGAGGUAUUUGAGUGUUUCGGUGCGAAUCGGGCGCGAAAUGAAAUUGAAAGGGAAGUUCCAAAAGCAAGGCUAACUUUGAUCAGCUUGAUCAAAUUAAAGCUAAAAUAUAAAUUAGUUGGUCCCCGAGUUAAAUUAGUCGUGUGGGGGUAGUUAAUUACAAGUUUUAGAAGUGUUUAGAGAUGUUGGAACGAAGUUGAUGCGAGAACGGGGCUUGGUAGUAAUGCUGCCAAGUGCAGAUUUUGCACCAAAAAGCUGCAGGGACCUAUUUGUAAAAGCAGAAUUCUUGCUUUGUAGAGGGUUUAAGUGCAAUUGCUGAAUGUUGCUGCUGCUGCUACUACUGAAUGCUGCAGCUACUGCUGCUACUGCUGCUGCUGCCAGGUGCUGUUAGUGCAGGGACUGUUUUGUAAACUGUAGGGACUGCUUUGUGAAAACUGCAGUUUCCGCAGUUUGGAGGGGUUAAGUUGCAAAGUUUUGAUCUUAUCUAUAUCGCUAGCUUAUCCACCAGCUAACCCUCAGCAGGGACCUCCUCAUCUUUUUCUUUUUCUUUCGUUUCUUUUUCUUUCUCUCUUUCUAACCUAGGGUGUGGAGCUUGGUGAAGGGAAGUUGAUGGAAAAGCAGAUUUGAGCUGAAAUGAAGGCUUUUGAGCAGGAAAUUGGUUGUUGGAAAGGAAAACCAUGGUAAGGUUGAUGUCAAUUCUGGUUUGGGGUUAGAUUAAUUGCUUUAGAAGGGAACUAAGCUGUGAAUUUGGGUUGCUAAUGCUGAAAUUAUUAUGAAAGUUUAGAGAUUAUACUAUGUUGACAGCAUACAUGAGAAUUAGUGAAACUUGGUGAGAAGUUAUGUUAAUUACUGGUUAAGAGUGAUAUUAUUUACACUGUAGAAAGGAUUUAGUUGAAGUUCUUAGUUUCUAAAGCUUGUAGUUGUCAUAGAGAACCUAGAAACCAUGCUAUUUAAUCCUAAAAACUGUAUUAUUGUAGCACACUAGACCUUUGCAAAUUAUGAAGUUCGAGUGUUUGAUAUGGAUCUCGAACUUUUCCACACUUGGUGGAAGGUCGUUGAUGGUAUUUCGACCUAAAAGUUCGAUUCCUGAAGUUUUGACAUUGUCCUGAGAGUUUUCACUCUCGGGGACCGGUCUCUGAUGGUAGAGACCGGUCCCCUCAGCACAGUGUCGUGGCCAGCUUGAGGCAACUGGUCCCUAGCUGUAAGAGACCGGUUCCUGAACGCGUGUUUUGCGAGAAGGGUCCGAGAGACCGGUCCCUGGUAGGGAGAGACCGGUUCCCGAACGUUGGUUCUGCGGGGCAGGCUGAGAGACCGGUCCCAGGUGUCGGGGAGACCGGUCCCUCAGCACGAAAACUGCCCAGACCGGGCAGUGCACAGGGUGACUUUUUGAGGGGCUUAUAUGGAUUUUGUUACUUUUAAGGGCCUUAAGGCCAUUUCCUCUCCCUCUCACCCUCAUUUCACUCCCUCACACUCACUCUAGAGAGAGAAAGAGAAGGAGAAGGAGAAGAAGGAGAGGAGAGGAGCUUACUUGGAGGUCUUGGAGCAUUAUCUUCUUCCUCAUUUCUCACCUUUGGUGGUUUGGAGCUUGCGGUUGGAGCCUUGUGGAGGAUCAAACUCUAACCCUACUUGAUUUAGAGCUUCGAUUGGAGCUUCUCUUGAGGUUGGUAACUUGUAUUUCCCAUUUAAUACAAGUUUUUCUAGAUUUUACUAGAUGAAACCCUAGAUUUUGGGAUUUAGGGUUUAUUUUGGGGAUUUUUGAUUUGAGGACUUUGAGACCUAAUUAAUAGGUUUAGAACCUUUAUUUAGGUUGGAUUUGAAGAACUCUAACUCCCAUUUGGAGCUUGAGAGAGGAUUUCUUCACCUAGGUGAGUUUUUCUCCACCUUAGCCUAUGUUGCUUAUUGAUUGAGCUUAGGGUUGAUCGUAAGGGCUAUUGGACACCUUCGUCGGACCUUACGAAGGGUUUCGUUAACCUUUGGUGGGUUUGGCUUCAUUGAAAUGGGAGGAAAUGCCUCCUAUGUGGUUAAAUGUUUUCGUAUACUCUAAAUACAUGCAUAUUCAUGUUCGAUGAAAUUUAUACGAAAUUUAGAAUGCUUAAAACCCCUAUGUUAUGCAUCAUGAAAAAUUGACUCUAUGUUGUAGAGAGAAGAAUAUGUAUUGUUAGUAUGCAUGAGUUUAAUGUUCUAAUGAAUAAUGUAAGAUCAUGUUUCUUGUGCGGAAAAUGAUUAGAAUG